GGCCAAAGCAUCAGAAAGCUUGUAUACAGAGGAGUCAAAACGAAGAACAGUAGUUGAGGAAGAAUUAGCAAAAGAAAAGGAAGAACUUGAAAAGAUAAAUAAAGAACUUGAAAAGAUAAAUAAAGAACAGGAUGAAGUCAUGGGAGAACUUUGCAUUGCCCAGGAUCACAAAUCACUGCUGGAGAAGCAAAUUGAAGAGUCUGAUGAGAUGGUAAAGGAGUUGGAGCAGAAAAUCAUCUCUGCUGUG
RNAcentral lists this long non-coding RNA (247 nucleotides) under Populus trichocarpa (black cottonwood). RNAcentral describes it as "long non-coding RNA (PTRI_LNC003281)". The record is from RNAcentral. Lineage: Eukaryota; Viridiplantae; Streptophyta; Magnoliopsida; Malpighiales; Salicaceae.